CAUAAGGAGCACUCUCUUACGGGCCAGAACAAGAGGAGAAGUUUGAGCUGAAGGUGUGCAGGGAUCUGGGAUCUUGAAUGACACUGAGAGGGCUCAAGAAAUACUCAGAUGUGGCGCUGACUCAUGGCUACGAGCCGGCAGAGAAAUCCAAUAGUGUGGAAAUUAAGCACGGAGGUCCAGAGGAGGGUGUUGAAUUGCCCGAGUCCAGGGCCAAAGGAAAUAAGUAAAACGAAGCAAAAGCAGAGAGAAGGGAUCACAAUAUAAAAGCUCAACAAAGGCUUAUCUGCUGACCUUUCGAUAGAGGCAGCGCUGCUCUUGAAUGCGGGAAUCAAUCGCAGGCUGAGCCAGGUGAGAGAUGACAAAGAUGCUUCCACCUCCGCGCAGGGCUGGAGAGAAAAAGUGAAACAUCUGAGCUCCUGAAGGGCUGUGACUCGAAGAAAAAUAAACUUUUAUUUAUUCUCCCUCAAGCUCUCGACACAAGCUGAACUUUUCUUGUUUUCUCUCUAGUUGCAGAUUUGCCAGCUAAAAUACAUUUCUGCCGGCUCCCCACCCACAGAACUGUGCCUACUGGAUGUGAAAUGCAGCCUAGGAAUUCC
Molecule: long non-coding RNA, 596 nt
Organism: Alligator sinensis (Chinese alligator)
Lineage: Eukaryota; Metazoa; Chordata; Crocodylia; Alligatoridae
Exons: 3
Source: RefSeq, a predicted model, not a curated record